This 694-nucleotide ribosomal RNA is filed under the name uncultured bacterium. RNAcentral's name for it is "bacterial SSU rRNA". It matches the Rfam family "Bacterial small subunit ribosomal RNA", at positions 111 to 823 of the family's 1533-position model. The record is from RNAcentral.
UAACGCGUGGGCAACCUGCCUUACACAGGGGGAUAACAGUUAGAAAUGACUGCUAAUACCGCAUAAGACCACAUUGCCGCAUGGCAGGGUGGUAAAAACUCCGGUGGUGUAGGAUGGGCCCGCGUCUGAUUAGGUAGUUGGCAGGGUAGAGGCCUACCAAGCCUACGAUCAGUAGCCGGCCUGAGAGGGUGGACGGCCACAUUGGGACUGAGACACGGCCCAAACUCCUACGGGAGGCAGCAGUGGGGAAUAUUGCACAAUGGGGGAAACCCUGAUGCAGCGACGCCGCGUGAGUGAGGAAGUAUUUCGGUAUGUAAAGCUCUAUCAGCAGGGAAGAAAAUGACGGUACCUGACUAAGAAGCCCCGGCUAACUACGUGCCAGCAGCCGCGGUAAUACGUAGGGGGCAAGCGUUAUCCGGAUUUACUGGGUGUAAAGGGAGCGUAGACGGAGGAGCAAGUCUGAUGUGAAAAUCCGGGGCCCAACCCCGGAACUGCAUUGGAAACUGUUUAUCUAGAGUGUCGGAGAGGCAAGUGGAAUUCCUAGUGUAGCGGUGAAAUGCGUAGAUAUUAGGAGGAACACCAGUGGCGAAGGCGGCUUGCUGGACGAUGACUGACGUUGAGGCUCGAAAGCGUGGGGAGCAAACAGGAUUAGAUACCCUGGUAGUCCACGCCGUAAACGAUGACUACUAGGUGU